CAGCAGCCGCGGGAAUACGUAGGGUGCGAGCGUUAAUCGGAAUUACUGGGCGUAAAGCGUGCGCAGGCGGUUCGUUAAGACAGAUGUGAAAUCCCCGGGCUUAACCUGGGAACUGCAUUUGUGACUGGCGAGCUAGAGUAUGGCAGAGGGGGGUAGAAUUCCACGUGUAGCAGUGAAAUGCGUAGAGAUGUGGAGGAAUACCGAUGGCGAAGGCAGCCCCCUGGGCCAAUACUGACGCUCAUGCACGAAAGCGUGGGGAGCAAACAGGAUUAGAGACCCCAGUAGUCCCUGUCUCUUAUAA
RNAcentral lists this ribosomal RNA (301 nucleotides) under uncultured bacterium. RNAcentral describes it as "partial 16S ribosomal RNA". It matches the Rfam family "Bacterial small subunit ribosomal RNA", at positions 509 to 809 of the family's 1533-position model. The record is from RNAcentral.